This 1692-nucleotide long non-coding RNA is filed under the name Taeniopygia guttata (zebra finch). RNAcentral describes it as "lncRNA (ENSTGUG00000025102.1)". Lineage: Eukaryota; Metazoa; Chordata; Aves; Passeriformes; Estrildidae. The record is from RNAcentral.
CAUAAGAAAAAAAAAAAUCAAUAAAAAUACAGCAAAGAAAGAAAAAAAAAAAGGCAGAAAAAACUAAAAACCAAAAUAGUGAAGGGAUUGGAUGGGGGAAAAAACUGGGUCAUAGGGAAAAAAUCAGAAAAUGCAAAGUCCAAAUGUGCUGUUCCAAAUGCCAAAAGAGCUCUCUUUACACCUUUUCCCUCCUUUCUUUUUUGUAACCUACAGCCUGCUGGACUUAUUCAGAACAUGGGGUCAACGAAAUGCAGAAGGCCAAGAUGACCCAGCUUCAGUCCAGGAGGGCCAUUCACUUGUGAAAGGAAGAAGCACUGCAACCUGCUGUCAGCCUGGAAUGUUGGUGUAAAAUCCAUAAAAUCCAUGCAGUUAUGCUGCCUUCACAGUGAAGCCUCCAGCCAGAUGGAAUUUGCAUGUGUGAGGAGUUUGUGCUGGGUGGAAAUAUCUGAAAUACUGCAGUUACCUGUUGGUUGAAGAACAAGCAUCCAUGGAUGAAUUGUCCCACUGACUGACCAAUACCACACAAUAAAAAAGUCCCUUUCCUGCUGGGGUUUAGCAGUGCUCUUGUUUCCAUGUCUGCACAGACACCAUGCAUGCUGCAAAUUAAAUGAUAAAAUUAAAAAUACAAUGUUCCCUACUGGUUUGUGUUUAUGCAACAGAGAGAGCCAAGGAGAAGAUGUGACCCAUACACUCUGGUUAUAGAACUGUCAUCUUAUGGAAAUUUACUAUUUUGGUAAUCCUAGGUACUCCUCUGGGACUCUGGCCUUUGUCUGUGUUGAUAUUUCCACCUGGAGGAGCUGAGGCCUAGAACAAGUUGCUCAAAUAAAAUGCCAUAACACUGCCAAGCCAAAGGAAAUACCAGUGGUGGAAGAUAGAUGGAUAAGCAAAUUCAGUGGGUUACUUGCAGGGAACUUGGAGCUACUCAGACAUGUGAAGGGAAGAAUAUUCACUGAAGAAGCAGAGUGGAACUCUCCUCCAUUUAAAGGUAUUCGUCGACUGAAGUGGGAAUAUUCAAAGCAUAUUUUUCACCUAUUAAGCAAGUACCAGCUGCUGGAACAGAAAGAGAAUGGAUCCAGCAGGCUCCUUCCUUUGCUCUGAGAGCUCUGAGAGCAUCUCAAAGGCUGCCCUAGGCUCUAAUGUCUGGUAAAAGAUCCCAGAGGAUGAGAAUUGGUGAUGACAACUCCAGCAACACAAACUCCCAUCUCUCUCCUGCCUGGAUAUGACUUCAGAGGAAUUUUCUUAAGGAUGUGGGAUGCCCUUCACAUAUAACAUGAAUGUUUUAAUAUAUGGAAAAUUCAGUCAAACCGUGGUAUCUCCAAUACAAAAAUAGCUGGUUCUCCUUCUCUACCAUUCCUGCAACAAUAAAGCCACUAUUGAACCUUUUGUGUUUAUUCAAAGAGCAGCAAAACUUACUGGGAACCAGGAAUUACUUAAUAAUAAUGAGUGUGACUAAGUAAAAGGCCUAAAAGACAGCUCAGACAUCUAAAAAUACAAUUAAAGAGACAUGAUUAGAAACAACUGAAUGAUAUUAAAGAGCAGUGAAGGAUUGGUUUUGGAGCAGAAAAGCUUUCUGACAAAAAUACCAGUCUAAGUUUACAAGAGCUGUUUACUACACAAAAUGCUGGAAGCAUUGAUGGACUAGUCAAAUUUAUGGAAUCACCAGAAAUUCAGUGCAAGCCAGAAAAAUUGUUU